CGACCCGUCUGUCUCCUUUUUUUUUUCUUUUUUCUUUUUUAACUGUAACCUGGUUUAUUGGGCUCUCGGCGUAUUCUUGCGUUCCUUAUGCACUGGGACAAGACACCACUGCACUAUUGGACUACGGCAAGCUGGUGCCGUCCGGUGGAGCUUCAUACAGGAACUACUGCCUUACCUGCUGGUGUCACAACGUUGGAUGAACGCACAAAAAGCGCGGAACGAGCUUUUAUAUAGAGCAAAAUAAAUAUUUCCUCAUUGCACAAAA
Dermacentor silvarum is the source of this 265-nucleotide long non-coding RNA. RefSeq lists it as uncharacterized. The record is from RefSeq and is a predicted model, not a curated record. The transcript is spliced from 2 exons. Lineage: Eukaryota; Metazoa; Arthropoda; Arachnida; Ixodida; Ixodidae.